Small nuclear RNA from Acomys russatus (golden spiny mouse), 105 nucleotides. Lineage: Eukaryota; Metazoa; Chordata; Mammalia; Rodentia; Muridae. The record is from RefSeq and is a predicted model, not a curated record.
AUGAUCACUUCAGCAGCAUAUAGACUAGAGCUGGCAUGGCAGAGAAGACUGGCAUGUCCCCUGCGCAAGGAAGACAUGCAAAUUCGGGAAGCAGUCCAUAUUUUU